GGUCUGGUAGUUCAGUUGGUUAGAAUGCCUGCCUGUCACGCAGGAGGUCGCGGGUUCGAGUCCCGUCCAGACCGCCA
This 77-nucleotide transfer RNA is filed under the name Enterococcus hirae. RNAcentral describes it as "tRNA-Asp". It matches the Rfam family "tRNA". From Rfam's summary of the family: Transfer RNA (tRNA) molecules are approximately 80 nucleotides in length. Their secondary structure includes four short double-helical elements and three loops (D, anti-codon, and T loops). Lineage: Bacteria; Bacillati; Bacillota; Bacilli; Lactobacillales; Enterococcaceae. The record is from RNAcentral. RNAcentral also lists the same sequence under 138 other names.